RNAcentral lists this ribosomal RNA (474 nucleotides) under uncultured bacterium. RNAcentral's name for it is "SSU rRNA". It matches the Rfam family "Bacterial small subunit ribosomal RNA", at positions 26 to 518 of the family's 1533-position model. The record is from RNAcentral.
AGGACGAACGCUGGCGCGGUGCUUAACGACGAUGCAAGUCGAGCGGAAAGGCCCUUCGGGGUACUCGAGCGGCGAACGGGUGAGUAACACGUGAGCAACCUGCCCUUAGCUCCGGGAUAGCUCCGGGAAACCGGAAUUAAUACCGGAUAUGACCUAGGCCGACAUCGGCUGUGGUGGAAAGUUUUUCGGCUGGGGAUGGACUCGCGGCCUAUCAGCUUGUUGGUGGGGUAAUGGCCUACCAAGGCGACGACGGGUAGCCGGCCUGAGAGGGCGACCGGCCACACUGGGACUGAGACACGGCCCAGACUCCUACGGGAGGCAGCAGUGGGAAUCUUGCGCAAUGGGCGAAAGCCUGACGCAGCGACGCCGCGUGGGGAUGAAGGCCUUCGGGUUGUAAACCCCUUUCAGCAGGGACGAAGCGAAAGUGACGGUACCUGCAGAAGAAGCGCCGGCUAACUACGUGCCAGCAGCCGC